This 70-nucleotide transfer RNA is filed under the name Camelus dromedarius (Arabian camel). It matches the Rfam family "tRNA". From Rfam's summary of the family: Transfer RNA (tRNA) molecules are approximately 80 nucleotides in length. Lineage: Eukaryota; Metazoa; Chordata; Mammalia; Artiodactyla; Camelidae. RNAcentral also lists the same sequence under 1 other name. The record is from Rfam by way of RNAcentral.
GAAUAUAGCUCAGUGGCAGAGCACGUGCCUAGCAUGCAUGAAGUCCCGGGUUCAAUCCCCAGUACCUUCA